GACGAACGCUGGCGGCGUGCUUAACACAUGCAAGUCGAGCGGUAAGGCCCUUCGGGGUACACGAGCGGCGAACGGGUGAGUAACACGUGGGUAACCUGCCCUGUACUCUGGGAUAAGCCUUGGAAACGAGGUCUAAUACCGGAUACGACACUGGACCGCAUGGUUUGGUGUGGAAAGUUCCGGCGGUAUGGGAUGGACCC
This 200-nucleotide ribosomal RNA is filed under the name uncultured bacterium. Its description in RNAcentral is "partial 16S ribosomal RNA". It matches the Rfam family "Bacterial small subunit ribosomal RNA", at positions 28 to 232 of the family's 1533-position model. The record is from RNAcentral.